Molecule: ribosomal RNA, 899 nt
Filed under: uncultured bacterium
Lineage: Bacteria
Description: bacterial SSU rRNA
Rfam family: Bacterial small subunit ribosomal RNA
Source: RNAcentral
ACGCUGGCGGCGUGCCUAAUACAUGCAAGUAGAACGCUGAAGGAGGAGCUUGCUUCUCCGGAUGAGUUGCGAACGGGUGAGUAACGCGUAGGUAACCUGCCUGGUAGCGGGGGAUAACUAUUGGAAACGAUAGCUAAUACCACAUAAGAGUAGAUGUCGCAUGUCAUUUGCUUAAAAGGUGCAAUUGCAUCACUACCAGAUGGACCUGCGUUGUAUUAGCUAGUUGGUGGGGUAACGGCUCACCAAGGCGACGAUACAUAGCCGACCUGAGAGGGUGAUCGGCCACACUGGGGCUGAGACACGGCCCAGACUCCUACGGGAGGCAGCAGUAGGGAAUCUUCGGCAAUGGACGGAAGUCUGACCGAGCAACGCCGUGUGAGUGAAGAAGGUUUUCGGAUCGUAAAGCUCUGUUGUAAGAGAAGAACGAGUGUGAGAGUGGAAAGUUCACACUGUGACGGUAUCUUACCAGAAAGGGACGGCUAACUACGUGCCAGCAGCCGCGGUAAUACGUAGGUCCCGAGCGUUGUCCGGAUUUAUUGGGCGUAAAGCGAGCGCAGGCGGUUAGAUAAGUCUGAAGUUAAAGGCUGUGGCUUAACCAUAGUACGCUUUGGAAACUGUUUAACUUGAGUGCAAGAGGGGAGAGUGGAAUUCCAUGUGUAGCGGUGAAAUGCGUAGAUAUAUGGAGGAACACCGGUGGCGAAAGCGGCUCUCUGGCUUGUAACUGACGCUGAGGCUCGAAAGCGUGGGGAGCAAACAGGAUUAGAUACCCCUGGUAGUCCACGCCGUAAACGAUGAGUGCUAGGUGUUAGACCCUUUCCGGGGUUUAGUGCCGCAGCUAACGCAUUAAGCACUCCGCCUGGGGAGUACGACCGCAAGGUUGAAACUCAAAGGAAUUGACG